GGGUUGUGAGGUUAAGCGACUAAGCGUACACGGUGGAUGCCUAGGCAGUCAGAGGCGAUGAAGGGCGUGCUAAUCUGCGAUAAGCGUCGGUAAGGUGAUAUGAACCGUUAUAACCGGCGAUACCCGAAUGGGGAAACCCAGUGUGACUCGUCACACUAUCAUGUCAUGAAUACAUAGUGGCAUGAGGCGAACCGGGGGAACUGAAACAUCUAAGUACCCCGAGGAAAAGAAAUCAACCGAGAUUCCCCCAGUAGCGGCGAGCGAACGGGGAACAGCCCAGAGUCUGAAUCAGUUUGUGUGUCAGUGGAAGCGUCUGGAAAGUCGCGCAGUAAAGGGUGACAGCCCCGUACACAAAGACACACCUUCUGUGAACUCGAUGAGUAGGGCGGGACACGUGAUAUCCUGUCUGAAGAUGGGGGGACCAUCCUCCAAGGCUAAAUACUCCUGACUGACCGAUAGUGAACCAGUACCGUGAGGGAAAGGCGAAAAGAACCCCGGCGAGGGGAGUGAAAA
RNAcentral lists this ribosomal RNA (513 nucleotides) under Erwinia sp. S38. Its description in RNAcentral is "partial 23S ribosomal RNA". It matches the Rfam family "Bacterial large subunit ribosomal RNA", at positions 1 to 544 of the family's 2925-position model. The record is from RNAcentral. Lineage: Bacteria; Pseudomonadati; Pseudomonadota; Gammaproteobacteria; Enterobacterales; Erwiniaceae.